Small nucleolar RNA from Dalotia coriaria, 75 nucleotides. NCBI's taxonomy places the organism in Eukaryota, Metazoa, Arthropoda, Insecta, Coleoptera, Staphylinidae. The record is from RefSeq and is a predicted model, not a curated record.
UGCUAAUGAUGAUCUUGAUAUGGGCCUGAAUUGAGAAAUGUUGUCAACAACACGAGCUUUUUAAUGCUGAUGAAA